This 1345-nucleotide ribosomal RNA is filed under the name uncultured bacterium. Its description in RNAcentral is "bacterial SSU rRNA". It matches the Rfam family "Bacterial small subunit ribosomal RNA", at positions 28 to 1381 of the family's 1533-position model. The record is from RNAcentral.
GAUGAACGCUAGCGGGAGGCCUAACACAUGCAAGCCGAGCGGUAGAAGAUCUUCGGAUCUUUGAGAGCGGCGUACGGGUGCGGAACACGUGUGCAACCUACCUUUAUCAGGGGGAUAGCCUUUCGAAAGGAAGAUUAAUACCCCAUAAUAUAUUGACUGGCAUCAGUCGAUAUUGAAAACUCCGGUGGAUAGAGAUGGGCACGCGCAAGAUUAGAUAGUUGGUAGGGUAACGGCCUACCAAGUCAGUGAUCUUUAGGGGGCCUGAGAGGGUGAUCCCCCACACUGGUACUGAGACACGGACCAGACUCCUACGGGAGGCAGCAGUGAGGAAUAUUGGACAAUGGGUGAGAGCCUGAUCCAGCCAUCCCGCGUGAAGGACGACGGCCCUAUGGGUUGUAAACUUCUUUUGUAUAGGGAUAAACCUACUCUCGUGAGAGUAGCUGAAGGUACUAUACGAAUAAGCACCGGCUAACUCCGUGCCAGCAGCCGCGGUAAUACGGAGGGUGCAAGCGUUAUCCGGAUUUAUUGGGUUUAAAGGGUCCGUAGGCGGAUCUGUAAGUCAGUGGUGAAAUCUCAUAGCUUAACUAUGAAACUGCCAUUGAUACUGCAGGUCUUGAGUAAAGUAGAAGUGGCUGGAAUAAGUAGUGUAGCGGUGAAAUGCAUAGAUAUUACUUAGAACACCAAUUGCGAAGGCAGGUCACUAUGUUUUAACUGACGCUGAUGGACGAAAGCGUGGGGAGCGAACAGGAUUAGAUACCCUGGUAGUCCACGCCGUAAACGAUGCUAACUCGUUUUUGGGCUUUAGGGUUCAGAGGCUAAGCGAAAGUGAUAAGUUAGCCACCUGGGGAGUACGUUCGCAAGAAUGAAACUCAAAGGAAUUGACGGGGGCCCGCACAAGCGGUGGAUUAUGUGGUUUAAUUCGAUGAUACGCGAGGAACCUUACCAAGGCUUAAAUGGGAAUUGACAGGUUUAGAAAUAGACUUUUCUUCGGACAAUUUUCAAGGUGCUGCAUGGUUGUCGUCAGCUCGUGCCGUGAGGUGUUAGGUUAAGUCCUGCAACGAGCGCAACCCCUGUCACUAGUUGCCAUCAUUCAGUUGGGGACUCUAGUGAGACUGCCUACGCAAGUAGAGAGGAAGGUGGGGAUGACGUCAAAUCAUCACGGCCCUUACGCCUUGGGCCACACACGUAAUACAAUGGCCAGUACAGAGGGCAGCUACCAGGCGACUGGAUGCGAAUCUCGAAAGCUGGUCUCAGUUCGGAUUGGAGUCUGCAACUCGACUCUAUGAAGCUGGAAUCGCUAGUAAUCGCAUAUCAGCCAUGAUGCGGUGAAUACGUUCCCGGGCCU